ACUCCUACGGGAGGCAGCAGUGGGGAAUAUUGCACAAUGGGCGCAAGCCUGAUGCAGCCAUGCCGCGUGUAUGAAGAAGGCCUUCGGGUUGUAAAGUACUUUCAGCAGUGAGGAAGGCAGGUACGUUAAUAGCGUGCUUGUUUGACGUUAGCUGCAGAAGAAGCACCGGCUAACUCCGUGCCAGCAGCCGCGGUAAUACGGAGGGUGCGAGCGUUAAUCGGAAUUACUGGGCGUAAAGCGCAUGCAGGUGGUUUGUUAAGUCAGAUGUGAAAGCCCGGGGCUCAACCUCGGAAUUGCAUUUGAAACUGGCAGACUAGAGUACUGUAGAGGGGGGUAGAAUUUCAGGUGUAGCGGUGAAAUGCGUAGAGAUCUGAAGGAAUACCGGUGGCGAAGGCGGCCCCCUGGGACAGAUACUGACACUCAGAUGCGAAAGCGUGGGGAGCAAACAGGAUUAGAUACCCUGGUAGGAUAGCG
This 474-nucleotide ribosomal RNA is filed under the name uncultured bacterium. RNAcentral's name for it is "bacterial SSU rRNA". It matches the Rfam family "Bacterial small subunit ribosomal RNA", at positions 335 to 799 of the family's 1533-position model. The record is from RNAcentral.